This 2904-nucleotide ribosomal RNA is filed under the name Escherichia coli. RNAcentral describes it as "23S ribosomal RNA". It matches the Rfam family "Bacterial large subunit ribosomal RNA". Lineage: Bacteria; Pseudomonadati; Pseudomonadota; Gammaproteobacteria; Enterobacterales; Enterobacteriaceae. The record is from RNAcentral.
GGUUAAGCGACUAAGCGUACACGGUGGAUGCCCUGGCAGUCAGAGGCGAUGAAGGACGUGCUAAUCUGCGAUAAGCGUCGGUAAGGUGAUAUGAACCGUUAUAACCGGCGAUUUCCGAAUGGGGAAACCCAGUGUGUUUCGACACACUAUCAUUAACUGAAUCCAUAGGUUAAUGAGGCGAACCGGGGGAACUGAAACAUCUAAGUACCCCGAGGAAAAGAAAUCAACCGAGAUUCCCCCAGUAGCGGCGAGCGAACGGGGAGCAGCCCAGAGCCUGAAUCAGUGUGUGUGUUAGUGGAAGCGUCUGGAAAGGCGCGCGAUACAGGGUGACAGCCCCGUACACAAAAAUGCACAUGCUGUGAGCUCGAUGAGUAGGGCGGGACACGUGGUAUCCUGUCUGAAUAUGGGGGGACCAUCCUCCAAGGCUAAAUACUCCUGACUGACCGAUAGUGAACCAGUACCGUGAGGGAAAGGCGAAAAGAACCCCGGCGAGGGGAGUGAAAAAGAACCUGAAACCGUGUACGUACAAGCAGUGGGAGCACGCUUAGGCGUGUGACUGCGUACCUUUUGUAUAAUGGGUCAGCGACUUAUAUUCUGUAGCAAGGUUAACCGAAUAGGGGAGCCGAAGGGAAACCGAGUCUUAACUGGGCGUUAAGUUGCAGGGUAUAGACCCGAAACCCGGUGAUCUAGCCAUGGGCAGGUUGAAGGUUGGGUAACACUAACUGGAGGACCGAACCGACUAAUGUUGAAAAAUUAGCGGAUGACUUGUGGCUGGGGGUGAAAGGCCAAUCAAACCGGGAGAUAGCUGGUUCUCCCCGAAAGCUAUUUAGGUAGCGCCUCGUGAAUUCAUCUCCGGGGGUAGAGCACUGUUUCGGCAAGGGGGUCAUCCCGACUUACCAACCCGAUGCAAACUGCGAAUACCGGAGAAUGUUAUCACGGGAGGCACACGGCGGGUGCUAACGUCCGUCGUGAAGAGGGAAACAACCCAGACCGCCAGCUAAGGUCCCAAAGUCAUGGUUAAGUGGGAAACGAUGUGGGAAGGCCCAGACAGCCAGGAUGUUGGCUUAGAAGCAGCCAUCAUUUAAAGAAAGCGUAAUAGCUCACUGGUCGAGUCGGCCUGCGCGGAAGAUGUAACGGGGCUAAACCAUGCACCGAAGCUGCGGCAGCGACGCUGAUGCGUUGUUGGGUAGGGGAGCGUUCUGUAAGCCUGCGAAGGUGUGCUGUGAGGCAUGCUGGAGGUAUCAGAAGUGCGAAUGCUGACAUAAGUAACGAUAAAGCGGGUGAAAAGCCCGCUCGCCGGAAGACCAAGGGUUCCUGUCCAACGUUAAUCGGGGCAGGGUGAGUCGACCCCUAAGGCGAGGCCGAAAGGCGUAGUCGAUGGGAAACAGGUUAAUAUUCCUGUACUUGGUGUUACUGCGAAGGGGGGACGGAGAAGGCUAUGUUGGCCGGGCGACGGUUGUCCCGGUUUAAGCGUGUAGGCUGGUUUUCCAGGCAAAUCCGGAAAAUCAAGGCUGAGGCGUGAUGACGAGGCACUACGGUGCUGAAGCAACAAAUGCCCUGCUUCCAGGAAAAGCCUCUAAGCAUCAGGUAACAUCAAAUCGUACCCCAAACCGACACAGGUGGUCAGGUAGAGAAUACCAAGGCGCUUGAGAGAACUCGGGUGAAGGAACUAGGCAAAAUGGUGCCGUAACUUCGGGAGAAGGCACGCUGAUAUGUAGGUGAAGUCCCUUGCGGAUGGAGCUGAAAUCAGUCGAAGAUACCAGCUGGCUGCAACUGUUUAUUAAAAACACAGCACUGUGCAAACACGAAAGUGGACGUAUACGGUGUGACGCCUGCCCGGUGCCGGAAGGUUAAUUGAUGGGGUCAGCGCAAGCGAAGCUCUUGAUCGAAGCCCCGGUAAACGGCGGCCGUAACUAUAACGGUCCUAAGGUAGCGAAAUUCCUUGUCGGGUAAGUUCCGACCUGCACGAAUGGCGUAAUGAUGGCCAGGCUGUCUCCACCCGAGACUCAGUGAAAUUGAACUCGCUGUGAAGAUGCAGUGUACCCGCGGCAAGACGGAAAGACCCCGUGAACCUUUACUAUAGCUUGACACUGAACAUUGAGCCUUGAUGUGUAGGAUAGGUGGGAGGCUUGGAAGUGUGGACGCCAGUCUGCAUGGAGCCGACCUUGAAAUACCACCCUUUAAUGUUUGAUGUUCUAACGUUGACCCGUAAUCCGGGUUGCGGACAGUGUCUGGUGGGUAGUUUGACUGGGGCGGUCUCCUCCUAAAGAGUAACGGAGGAGCACGAAGGUUGGCUAAUCCUGGUCGGACAUCAGGAGGUUAGUGCAAUGGCAUAAGCCAGCUUGACUGCGAGCGUGACGGCGCGAGCAGGUGCGAAAGCAGGUCAUAGUGAUCCGGUGGUUCUGAAUGGAAGGGCCAUCGCUCAACGGAUAAAAGGUACUCCGGGGAUAACAGGCUGAUACCGCCCAAGAGUUCAUAUCGACGGCGGUGUUUGGCACCUCGAUGUCGGCUCAUCACAUCCUGGGGCUGAAGUAGGUCCCAAGGGUAUGGCUGUUCGCCAUUUAAAGUGGUACGCGAGCUGGGUUUAGAACGUCGUGAGACAGUUCGGUCCCUAUCUGCCGUGGGCGCUGGAGAACUGAGGGGGGCUGCUCCUAGUACGAGAGGACCGGAGUGGACGCAUCACUGGUGUUCGGGUUGUCAUGCCAAUGGCACUGCCCGGUAGCUAAAUGCGGAAGAGAUAAGUGCUGAAAGCAUCUAAGCACGAAACUUGCCCCGAGAUGAGUUCUCCCUGACCCUUUAAGGGUCCUGAAGGAACGUUGAAGACGACGACGUUGAUAGGCCGGGUGUGUAAGCGCAGCGAUGCGUUGAGCUAACCGGUACUAAUGAACCGUGAGGCUUAACCUU